GAGAUGUUAGUAAACUCAUUACAUGGCCCUGUCAAAGCCAAACC
RNAcentral lists this transfer RNA (44 nucleotides) under Cyclopsitta diophthalma macleayana. RNAcentral's name for it is "partial tRNA-Asp". Lineage: Eukaryota; Metazoa; Chordata; Aves; Psittaciformes; Psittacidae. The record is from RNAcentral.